Molecule: ribosomal RNA, 440 nt
Filed under: uncultured bacterium
Lineage: Bacteria
Description: partial 16S ribosomal RNA
Rfam family: Bacterial small subunit ribosomal RNA
Source: RNAcentral
CCUACGGGUGGCAGCAGUGGGGAAUAUUGCACAAUGGGGGAAACCCUGAUGCAGCGACGCCGCGUGAGUGAAGAAGUAAUUCGUUAUGUAAAGCUCUAUCAGCAGGGAAGAAAAUGACGGUACCUGAGUAAGAAGCCCCGGCUAACUACGUGCCAGCAGCCGCGGUAAUACGUAGGGGGCAAGCGUUAUCCGGAUUUACUGGGUGGAAAGGGAGCGUAGACGGCAGUGUAAGUCUGGAGUGAAAGGCGGGGGCUCAACCCACGGACUGCUCUGGAAACUGUACGGCUGGAGUGCAGGAGAGGUAAGUGGAAUUCCUAGUGUAGCGGUGAAAUGCGUAGAUAUUAGGAGGAACACCAGUGGCGAAGGCGGCUUACUGGACUGUAACUGACGUUGAGGCUCGAAAGCGUGGGGAGCAAACAGGAUUAGAUACCCCUGUAGUC